Molecule: ribosomal RNA, 253 nt
Filed under: uncultured bacterium
Lineage: Bacteria
Description: partial 16S ribosomal RNA
Rfam family: Bacterial small subunit ribosomal RNA
Source: RNAcentral
UACGUAGGUGGCAAGCGUUGUCCGGAUUUACUGGGCGUAAAGAGCGCGCAGGCGGUCGUUCAAGUCGCGUGUGAAAGCCCCCGGCUCAACUGGGGAGGGUCACGCGAUACUGAUCGACUGGAAGGCAGGAGAGGGUAGUGGAGUUCCCGGUGUAGUGGUGAAAUGCGUAGAUAUCGGGAGGAACACCAGUGGCGAAGGCGGCGACCUGGGUCGAUACUGACGCUGAUGCGCGAAAGCGUGGGGAGCAAACAGG